UGGGGAAUUUUGGACAAUGGGCGAAAGCCUGAUCCAGCAAUGCCGCGUGUGUGAAGAAGGCCUUCGGGUUGUAAAGCACUUUUGUCCGGAAAGAAAUCCUUGGCUCUAAUACAGUCGGGGGAUGACGGUACCGGAAGAAUAAGCACCGGCUAACUACGUGCCAGCAGCCGCGGUAAUACGUAGGGUGCAAGCGUUAAUCGGAAUUACUGGGCGUAAAGCGUGCGCAGGCGGUUUGCUAAGACCGAUGUGAAAUCCCCGGGCUCAACCUGGGAACUGCAUUGGUGACUGGCAGGCUAGAGUAUGGCAGAGGGGGGUAGAAUUCCACGUGUAGCAGUGAAAUGCGUAGAGAUGUGGAGGAAUACCGAUGGCGAAGGCAGCCCCCUGGGCCAAUACUGACGCUCAUGCACGAAAGCGUGGGGAGCAAACAGGAUUAGAUACCCUGGUAGUCCACGCCCUAAACGAUGUCAACUAGUUGUUGGGGAUUCAUCUCCUUAGUAACGUAGCUAACGCGUGAAGUUGACCGCCUGGGGAGUACGGUCGCAAGAUUAAAACUCAAAUGAAUUGACGGGGUCAUAGCUG
Molecule: ribosomal RNA, 579 nt
Filed under: uncultured bacterium
Lineage: Bacteria
Description: partial 16S ribosomal RNA
Rfam family: Bacterial small subunit ribosomal RNA
Source: RNAcentral